This 422-nucleotide ribosomal RNA is filed under the name uncultured archaeon. RNAcentral describes it as "bacterial SSU rRNA". It matches the Rfam family "Archaeal small subunit ribosomal RNA", at positions 458 to 880 of the family's 1478-position model. The record is from RNAcentral.
UCAGCCGCCGCGGUAAAACCAGCACCUCGAGUGGUCAGGAGGUUUAUUGGGCCUAAAGCAUCCGUAGCCGGUUGCAUAAGUUUUCGGUUAAAUCUAUGCGCUUAACGUAUAGGCCGCCGAAAAUACUGUGCAGCUAGGGAGUGGGAGAGGUACACGGUACUCGAUAGGAAGGGGUAAAAUCCUUUGAUCUAUUGAUGACCACCUGUGGCGAAGGCGGUGUACCAGAACACGUUCGACGGUGAGGGAUGAAAGCUGGGGGAGCAAACCGGAUUAGAUACCCAGGUAGUCCCAGCUGUAAACGAUGCAGACUCGGUGAUGCAUUGGCUUGUGGCCAAUGCAGUGCCGCAGGGAAGCCGUUAAGUCUGCCGCCUGGGAAGUACGUACGCAAGUAUGAAACUUAAAGGAAUUGGCGGGGGAGCACA